UCCCUGUUGGCUCAGAGGUUAAAGCGUCUGCCUGCGAUGCGGGAGACCCGGGUUCGAUCCCUGGGUCGGGAA
Molecule: transfer RNA, 72 nt
Filed under: Bos taurus (domestic cattle)
Lineage: Eukaryota; Metazoa; Chordata; Mammalia; Artiodactyla; Bovidae
Also listed under: 2 other names
Rfam family: tRNA
About the family: Transfer RNA (tRNA) molecules are approximately 80 nucleotides in length. Their secondary structure includes four short double-helical elements and three loops (D, anti-codon, and T loops).
Source: Rfam by way of RNAcentral